Long non-coding RNA from Piliocolobus tephrosceles (Ugandan red Colobus), 1455 nucleotides. RefSeq lists it as uncharacterized. NCBI's taxonomy places the organism in Eukaryota, Metazoa, Chordata, Mammalia, Primates, Cercopithecidae. The record is from RefSeq and is a predicted model, not a curated record. The transcript is spliced from 2 exons.
GUUUCACCAUGUUGGCCAGGAUGGUCUCAAUCUCUUGACCUCAUGAUGUGCCCACCUUGGCCUCCGAAAGUGCUGGGAUUACAGGCGUGAGCCACCACGCCUAGCCCUACCUUGCCUUCUUAUGGGGAACUCCAGUUAACCCUCAGUUGAUGAAGGGAAGUCUUUACAUAAGAAUGCUGGCUAGUUUAAAAUGCAGAAUGAUAGACUUAGAAGGUCAGCUUUUUGUAAAUAUUUGUGAAAUAAUCGAUUCAAGCAAGGAUCACUAAUGGAUGCCAAAAGCAGUACUUAUAAGAUUUUUGGGAACCAGGAUAGUCCCAAAAUGGUAUGACAUUGCCCCACAGAUUAUUUGUUAAUUUACAGAGAGAAAAACAUACAGUUACAAGGAGACCUUUGUCACCACUUUCAACUAGUCAUCAAAUUUAGCAUCACGAACAGUGAUGUAACCUAAAUCUACAGAGCACCUGAUGUCCUGCAGUGUGGCAUGUACAGAAUCAUGGGUGAAGACUGAUCUAACCAUUAGAUCAAUGAGUCACAGUCUUCCCCAUACGUUAAAAUCAACUCAGGGCAUUUUAAAGCUCCCCAUUCCCAGUCUGCACCCAAGCUAAUUAUAAGAACCUCUGCAGGUGGGAUCUAGGCAUUAGUGUUUUGUUCCGGCUCCCAAAGUGAUGUCAAGGUUCAACCCAGAUCGAGAAAUACUGGCUUAGAGGAAGAUGUUAAAACACACCAAAAGAACAUAAUCAGACAUGUUCAGAAUAUGGGAUAUUAUUUAAGAUUACUGAAUUGGCUUCUUCAAAAAGUAAAUUUUUUCAAGAAGAACAGUAUCUUUGAACAUGUGUACCAGGAGAAAAAACGAAGAAAAUGAAAAAGGAGGAGAAACAAAGAAGGAAAGAAAAGAAAACAGACACACACACACAGAGGAAGAAUGGCACCUGAAGAAGGAAGCAGAGAUUGGAGUGAUGCAUCUACAAGCCAAGAAAGGUCAAGGAUUGUCACCCAUCAUUAGAAGCUAGGAGAGAGGCAUGGAAAUCGAUGCUAUCACUACUCUCAUUUUACAGUUGUGGAAACUGAGUGGAGAGGGGUUAAGUGACUUGCCGAAGGUCACAGAGCCAGCAGGUGGUGGUGCAAAGAUUCCAAUCCAGGAAUUUCAACUCAGAGCUUGAACUCUUAGCCACUGCCUGGCACUACCUCCUCUUCUCUCCAUGUUUUUAUUCACCAGCUCUACAAUAGUUUCUGUCUGUGCUAAUCAUUUUAGCACCCUGAAUCCAAAGAGGGAUGUGUCAUCCAAUCCUUUAACUCAUCCAAUUCUUCAGUUCCCAAACAUAGUUUAUUCAUGUGUAACCAUUAUGAAUUUUGUCAUGUCCUUGUACUACUUUUUAAAUUAAUAUUAUUAUAUUUGUCAACUCUCUUCUUUUUAAAUCUUUUCAUUGAAAAGAAACAUAUGUAUACAGAAAAGCG